UGCGGGGUAGCGUAGAGGUCAGCGCGGAGGACUCAUAAUCCUCAAGUCGUGGGUUCGAAUCCCAUCCCCGCUUCAA
RNAcentral lists this transfer RNA (76 nucleotides) under Caudoviricetes sp. RNAcentral's name for it is "tRNA-Met". It matches the Rfam family "tRNA". Rfam says of the family: Transfer RNA (tRNA) molecules are approximately 80 nucleotides in length. Their secondary structure includes four short double-helical elements and three loops (D, anti-codon, and T loops). The record is from RNAcentral. Lineage: Duplodnaviria; Heunggongvirae; Uroviricota; Caudoviricetes.